Molecule: ribosomal RNA, 515 nt
Filed under: uncultured bacterium
Lineage: Bacteria
Description: partial 16S ribosomal RNA
Rfam family: Bacterial small subunit ribosomal RNA
Source: RNAcentral
GAUGAACGCCGGCGGCGUGCCUAAUACAUGCAAGUCGAGCGAAUGGAUUAAGAGCUUGCUCUUAUGAAGUUAGCGGCGGACGGGUGAGUAACACGUGGGUAACCUGCCCAUAAGACUAGGAUAACUCCGGGAAACCGGGGCUAAUACCGGCUAACAUUUUGAACCGCAUGGUUCGAAAUUGAAAGGCGGCUUCGGCUGUCACUUAUGGAUGGACCGGCGUCGCAUUAGCUAGUUGGUGAGGUAACGGCUCACCAAGGCAACGAUGCGUAGCCGACCUGAGAGGGUGAUCGGCCACACUGGGACUGAGACACGGCCCAGACUCCUACGGGAGGCAGCAGUAGGGAAUCUUCCGCAAUGGACGAAAGUCUGACGGAGCAACGCCGCGUGAGUGAUGAAGGCUUUCGGGUCGUAAAACUCUGUUGUUAGGGAAGAACAAGAGCUAGUUGAAUAAGCUGGCACCUUGACGGUACCUAACCAGAAAGCCACGGCUAACUACGUGCCAGCCGCCGCGGUAA